RNAcentral lists this ribosomal RNA (949 nucleotides) under uncultured bacterium. Its description in RNAcentral is "bacterial SSU rRNA". It matches the Rfam family "Bacterial small subunit ribosomal RNA", at positions 8 to 967 of the family's 1533-position model. The record is from RNAcentral.
AGAGUUUGAUCCUGGCUCAGGAUGAACGCUGGCGGCGUGCCUAAUACAUGCAAGUCGAACGGGGAGUACUUACUUUGGUUUUUACUCCUAGUGGCGAACGGGUGAGUAACGCGUUGGUGACCUGCCCCGAAGCGGGGGAUAACAGUUCGAAAGGACUGCUAAUACCCCAUGUGGUCGUACAGGUUAGAGACUGAACGACUAAAGGAGCAAUCCACUUCGGGAGGGGCCUGCGUCCCAUCAGCUAGUUGGUAAGGUAACGGCCUACCAAGGCGAUGACGGGUAGGGGACCUGAGAGGGUGGUCCCCCACACUGGCACUGAAACACGGGCCAGACACCUACGGGUGGCAGCAGUAGGGAAUAUUGCACAAUGGGCGAAAGCCUGAUGCAGCAACGCCGCGUGCGCGAAGAAGGCCUUCGGGUUGUAAAGCGCUUUUCUGGAGGAAGAGGAAGGACGGUACUCCAGGAAUAAGGAUCGGCUAACUACGUGCCAGCAGCCGCGGUAACACGUAGGAUCCGAGCGUUAUCCGAAUUUACUGGGCGUAAAGCGCGUGUAGGCGGCCGGGUAAGUUGGACGUGAAAGCUCCUGGCUCAACUAGGAGAGGUCGUUCAAAACUGCCUGGCUAGAGGGCGACAGAGGGAGGUGGAAUUCCCGGUGUAGUGGUGAAAUGCGUAGAUAUCGGGAGGAACACCAGUGGCGAAGGCGGCCUCCUGGGUCGCCCCUGACGCUCAGACGCGAAAGCUAGGGGGGCAAACGGGAUUAGAUACCCCGGUAGUCCUAGCUGUAAACGAUGUGGACUUGGCGUUGGUGGGGUCAAAUCCAUCAGUGCCGUAGCUAACGCGAUAAGUCCACCGCCUGGGGACUACGACCGCAAGGUUAAAACUCAAAGGAAUUGGCGGGGGCCCGCACAAGCAGCGGAACGUGUGGUUUUAAUUCGAUGCUACACGAAGA